UUUGAUUCACCUCUGCCACCUUUCUCCUGUGUGUACGUCACUAGUAGGGGCUUGGGCUGGGUUCCAAUUAGUUUAGUGCGAACAGGCAUAGAUAUAUACACCUUGGGUCCUUAUGCCGGUAGCCAUCCAUUGCUGAUUGUGGAGUGAAGCCGCGUUUUGGAGCGUUGUCUUCAGCGACACGGUAGCGUGUUAUAGAGCGGAUGCCAACAGGAACGAGUUGAGCGUCUUCCCUACCAACUGCAAUCCAUAUCCCGUUUACAUGCAUCGCAACGUGUUAAGUAGCAGUCAGUGUAUCAGUGCGGUGGUUAUUGUGGUUGCUGGCCGCGUAUAGAUACCAGGUGCAUGACGUUCUCGGGUGCAGCUGUUUAGACAGCGAAGAAGCUAUUGAAGCACACAGCUAUACAGCAUUGUUAGCUGCUGUUCUCUUCCAGUUAGUUAUAGGUCCGGGUGCUGCUUUUAGAAUAUAUGUAUCUCUGUUUUCCCCUCUAGCCUGGGGGCCUAGGUGUGUAUAUGUGGUUAAGAGGAUAUUGUGAGCCACAGGUUAGAGGGUUUAUUUUUGUUUGUUUGUUUCAUUAAUUUGUUAUCUGUUUCCCCUGUGUCAUCUCCCCUGCCGCAAUAGCCUGGGUAUCGUUUGGGGCCCUAGCCUAGAUUACAGGUUGGCCAGGUUUUCCUCUAAGAUAGUUUCUCACCUUUGAUAAGAUGUGCAGUGUAAUGCAGUGAAGUGU
Long non-coding RNA from Clupea harengus (Atlantic herring), 725 nucleotides. RefSeq lists it as uncharacterized. Lineage: Eukaryota; Metazoa; Chordata; Actinopteri; Clupeiformes; Clupeidae. The record is from RefSeq and is a predicted model, not a curated record. The transcript is spliced from 3 exons.